AUCUGGCUGGCUCAGUGAGUAGAGCAUGUGACUCCUGAUCUCAGAGUCAUCAUGAGUUCAAGCCUCAUGCUGGGCA
This 76-nucleotide transfer RNA is filed under the name Canis lupus familiaris (dog). It matches the Rfam family "tRNA". Rfam says of the family: Transfer RNA (tRNA) molecules are approximately 80 nucleotides in length. Their secondary structure includes four short double-helical elements and three loops (D, anti-codon, and T loops). Further hydrogen bonds mediate the characteristic L-shaped molecular structure. tRNAs have two regions of fundamental functional importance: the anti-codon, which is responsible for specific mRNA codon recognition, and the 3' end, to which the tRNAs corresponding amino acid is attached (by aminoacyl-tRNA synthetases). tRNAs cope with the degeneracy of the genetic code in two manners: having more than one tRNA (with a specific anti-codon) for a particular amino acid; and 'wobble' base-pairing, i.e. permitting non-standard base-pairing at the 3rd anti-codon position. RNAcentral also lists the same sequence under 2 other names. Lineage: Eukaryota; Metazoa; Chordata; Mammalia; Carnivora; Canidae. The record is from Rfam by way of RNAcentral.